This 490-nucleotide ribosomal RNA is filed under the name uncultured bacterium. Its description in RNAcentral is "partial 16S ribosomal RNA". It matches the Rfam family "Bacterial small subunit ribosomal RNA", at positions 30 to 507 of the family's 1533-position model. The record is from RNAcentral.
AUUGAACGCUGGCGGCAGGCCUAACACAUGCAAGUCGAACGGUAACAGGAAGCAGCUUGCUGCUUCGCUGACGAGUGGCGGACGGGUGAGUAAUGUCUGGGAAGCUGCCUGAUGGAGGGGGAUAACUACUGGAAACGGUAGCUAAUACCGCAUAAUGUCGCAAGACCAAAGAGGGGGACCUUCGGGCCUCUUGCCAUCGGAUGUGCCCAGAUGGGAUUAGCUUGUUGGUGGGGUAACGGCUCACCAAGGCGACGAUCCCUAGCUGGUCUGAGAGGAUGACCAGCCACACUGGAACUGAGACACGGUCCAGACUCCUACGGGAGGCAGCAGUGGGGAAUAUUGCACAAUGGGCGCAAGCCUGAUGCAGCCAUGCCGCGUGUAUGAAGAAGGCCUUCGGGUUGCAAAGUACUUUCAGCGGGGAGGAAGGGAGUAAAGUUAAUACCUUUGCUCAUUGACGUUACCCGUAGAAGAAGCACCGGCUAACUCCGUG